CCUACGGGGGGCAGCAGUGGGGAAUAUUGCACAAUGGGGGAAACCCUGAUGCAGCGACGCCGCGUGAGUGAAGAAGUAUUUCGGUAUGUAAAGCUCUAUCAGCAGGGAAGAAAAUGACGGUACCUGACUAAGAAGCACCGGCUAACUACGUGCCAGCAGCCGCGGUAAUACGUAGGGGGCAAGCGUUAUCCGGAUUCACUGGGUGUAAAGGGCGCGUAGACGGCGUAACAAGUCAGAAGUGAAAACCCGGGGCUCAACCCUGGGAGUGCUUUUGAAACUGUUUGGCUAGAGUGCGGGAGAGGUAAGCGGAAUUCCUAGUGUAGGGGUGAAAUGCGUAGAUAUUAAGAGGAAAACCAGUGGCGAAGGCGGCUUACUGGAAUGUAACUGACGUUGAGGCUCGAAAGCGUGGGGAGCAAACAGGAUUAGAUACCCGAGUAGUC
This 440-nucleotide ribosomal RNA is filed under the name uncultured bacterium. RNAcentral's name for it is "partial 16S ribosomal RNA". It matches the Rfam family "Bacterial small subunit ribosomal RNA", at positions 338 to 795 of the family's 1533-position model. The record is from RNAcentral.